RNAcentral lists this transfer RNA (68 nucleotides) under Marmota monax (woodchuck). Its description in RNAcentral is "tRNA.Ala". Lineage: Eukaryota; Metazoa; Chordata; Mammalia; Rodentia; Sciuridae. The record is from RNAcentral.
GGUUUGUGGCUCAGUGGUAGAGUGCUUGCCUAGCAAACAAAAGGCACUGGGUUUGAUCUCCGGCACCA